Molecule: long non-coding RNA, 1105 nt
Organism: Raphanus sativus (radish)
Lineage: Eukaryota; Viridiplantae; Streptophyta; Magnoliopsida; Brassicales; Brassicaceae
Exons: 5
Source: RefSeq, a predicted model, not a curated record
AUCAUCCCCGGCCUCAAGUAAAACGCCUUCUUGCUAUUUGUCAACAAACACAGAGAGCGUGAAAGAUGGUGUUGUUAUCAAGCAUACUUAGCCGGAAUCACAGCCAUCAUCCUCCGAUGACAAAACGACCAGACAGGUUCAAGUGAAAGAUGGUGUUGUUAUCAAGAACACUUCACCGGCUCGAUCACAUGAUCCUUCAAAUCAGCCGCAAUGUCAUCAUUAGUCACAGUGUCAUCAUGUUGAGUCGAGAUGAGAACGGUGUGAAAGCGUUGAAGCUCGUGUUCUGUUCCUCAGAGAUAAGCUUCUCUAUCGCCUUUCUAGGAUAAAAAUAUUGUAGUUUCGCUUGCAUCUCUUUUUUCAGCUACAGAUUGUUGUUGUGUAGGAUACAGGUGCUCCCAAAAUGGCAAACAGAAAAUUUAAACACAAUCUGAAGCAAGCCUACUUAUUAUGUUCGAUUUCACAUAGAUUGUUUCAUAUACUUACAACCUGUUUUGUAAAAUCUGCAGGGAAUCAGAAGAUUAUAGAUGAGGAAAACGCCAAGAUACUGCCAAGUCACAGGCUUCGUCGAGUUCAUUAGCUCAGGAUAAUGCCAAGGAAAUUUUUAUCUGAUGGAUAGCUGAUCAAAUGCUGAUGGAGCUUACCACAGGGAAAAAUCAUGAAACAUUAACUCCAUUCUCCUUCUGUUUUUCCUACUCAGGACUUGGAACGGCACGAACUGGAAUGUGUCCAACACCUUCGUAUAAUCUCUUGAAAACAGAAGGAAUGAUAUUGACAUCAAUGAAUUAUAUGUAAGACUUGAGCCAAACGAAGCCAUUUUUCUUCCUUCUGAGUAUUUUUCUACCGAGAAUACAAAGAAUGAACUCUGAGUUGAUUAUAACAUGAGAAGAACUCUGUCAUUCUCAAACCUUGUCACGAACUUCAUUAUCAGAAUAUACAUGGAGUUAUAGAUCAUCACUAAUCCUUUUCAUUGAGAAACCAUUGAUUAACGAUAUUGAGUAACAAUAGCACUGUUGAAUGUUUCAUAUGUUAUAGAUCAAUGUCUUUCAAAGAAAAAACUUCGAUUGAUUCAUGUUAUUACGUUCAAAUAUUGAUUUAUCGUUAUAUG